UAGUCAAUGCCCUUGAUUUCUACUAUUAAAAGUUACUGUGUAAGCAUUCGGAAUAGCUAUACUUAUGGCUGCUGAUUUAGUAGUUUAGAAAUAGUCAUUGAAUGGAGUAUUUAUUUGAGCUCGAUAUCUGAUAAAGUUAUGUAGUUGAACCUUUCGUUAUCCUGCAGUUCCGCAAUUCAUCGCUAUUUAAAAAGCAUCACAAAAUCAGCUGAUACUCUCAACGACUCUCUCGAGCACGAUGUCUCUCCUACAAAUUUUGAGUAUCGAAAUGAGACGACAUUCUCAGUCGGCAGAGGCAUCAAAAGUAAAAAGACAGGAACGAACAAAAGGAAAAUAACAAGAGAGAAUGAAAUGAGUUAACAGAUUCCUUUUCUCAAAGGCACGCGUCCUUCUUGUGUACCUACGAUUAGAUGUUUUUGAAAAAGCAAAGUGAGUGCUAGAAUGUUAAUUAAUCAUGUGGUCAUAUAUUCCAAAUCAACUGAAAAGAAGCUGGACUCAACUUCUGAUAAAGACGCCCAAGUUGGAAUUUUAUAUUU
This is a long non-coding RNA of Drosophila erecta, 536 nucleotides long. RefSeq lists it as uncharacterized. The record is from RefSeq and is a predicted model, not a curated record. NCBI's taxonomy places the organism in Eukaryota, Metazoa, Arthropoda, Insecta, Diptera, Drosophilidae. The transcript has 3 exons.